AACAGAGGAUGCAAGCGUUAUCCGGAAUUAUUGGGCGUAAAGGGCUCGUAGGCGGUCUGUCGCGUCGGGAGUGAAAACUCAGGGCUUAACCCUGAGCCUGCUUCCGAUACGGGCAGACUAGAGGUAUGCAGGGGAGAAUGGAAUUCCUGGUGUAGCGGUGAAAUGCGCAGAUAUCAGGAGGAACACCGGUGGCGAAGGCGGUUCUCUGGGCAUUACCUGACGCUGAGGAGCGAAAGUGUGGGGAGCGAACAGG
RNAcentral lists this ribosomal RNA (253 nucleotides) under uncultured bacterium. RNAcentral describes it as "partial 16S ribosomal RNA". It matches the Rfam family "Bacterial small subunit ribosomal RNA", at positions 524 to 776 of the family's 1533-position model. The record is from RNAcentral.